RNAcentral lists this ribosomal RNA (253 nucleotides) under uncultured bacterium. RNAcentral's name for it is "partial 16S ribosomal RNA". It matches the Rfam family "Bacterial small subunit ribosomal RNA", at positions 524 to 776 of the family's 1533-position model. The record is from RNAcentral.
UACGAAGGGUGCUAGCGUUGUUCGGAAUCACUGGGCGUAAAGCGCGCGUAGGCGGCAAUACAAGUCAGGGGUGAAAUCCCAGAGCUUAACUCUGGAACUGCCUUUGAAACUGUAUUGCUAGAGUGUUGGAGGGGAUGGCGGAAUUCCUAAUGUAGGGGUGAAAUGCGUAGAUAUUAGGAGGAACACCGGUGGCGAAGGCGGCCAUCUGGACGACAACUGACGCUGAGGCGUGAAAGCGUGGGGAUCAAACAGG